Molecule: long non-coding RNA, 284 nt
Organism: Bactrocera tryoni
Lineage: Eukaryota; Metazoa; Arthropoda; Insecta; Diptera; Tephritidae
Exons: 3
Source: RefSeq, a predicted model, not a curated record
UUAUUAAUUUCUUUUCAUUUUAUUUAUACAAAAAUUUGAAAAGUGCAUUGAUGUGGCUAUAAUUAAUAUAAUUUCUAAAUUACUCUACUAAAUAUGUUGUUAAUGGCGGCUAAUGACCAAUUUUACGGCGAAGUACAAGAUGGUGUUAUCAAUGAAAUAUUAUUACCGAGCUAAGCUUAGUUAGCUUAAUUAGUUUCUGAUCUGUACAAUCUUCAUUGAAGUCUAACGAGCAGCUUUCGACUAUAGCGGAAAAAUUCGUGAAAAAAGACCCGGUUUUCAUCAGG